Molecule: ribosomal RNA, 377 nt
Filed under: uncultured Enterococcus sp.
Lineage: Bacteria; Bacillati; Bacillota; Bacilli; Lactobacillales; Enterococcaceae
Description: bacterial SSU rRNA
Rfam family: Bacterial small subunit ribosomal RNA
Source: RNAcentral
AUACGUAGGUGGCAAGCGUUGUCCGGAUUUAUUGGGCGUAAAGCGAGCGCAGGCGGUUCUUUAAGUCUGAUGUGAAAGCCCCCGGCUCAACCGGGGAGGGUCAUUGGAAACUGGAGGACUUGAGUGCAGAAGAGGAGAGUGGAAUUCCAUGUGUAGCGGUGAAAUGCGUAGAUAUAUGGAGGAACACCAGUGGCGAAGGCGGCUCUCUGGUCUGUAACUGACGCUGAGGCUCGAAAGCGUGGGGAGCAAACAGGAUUAGAUACCCUGGUAGUCCACGCCGUAAACGAUGAGUGCUAAGUGUUGGAGGGUUUCCGCCCUUCAGUGCUGCAGCUAACGCAUUAAGCACUCCGCCUGGGGAGUACGGCCGCAAGGCUGAA